UCCUAAUACAGGGAGGUAGUGACAAGAAAUAACAAUACAGGACUUUUUGGUUUUGUAAUUGGAAUGAGUUAAGUAUAAACCCCUUUACAAGUAUCAAUUGGAGGGCAAGUCUGGUGCCAGCAGCCGCGGUAAUUCCAGCUCCAAUAGCGUAUAUUAAAGUUGUUGCAGUUAAAAAGCUCGUAGUUGGAUUUCUGUUAAUAAUUUAUAUAAAAUAUUUUGAAUAUUUAUAUAACAUUAACAUAAUUCAUAUUACUAUAUUUUUUAGUAUAUGAAAUUUUACUUUGAGAAAAUUAGAGUGCUUAAAGCAGGCAUAUGCCUUGAAUACUCCAGCAUGGAAUAAUAUUAAAGAUUUUUAUCUUUCUUAUUGGUUCUAAGAUAAGAAUAAUGAUUAAUAGGGACAGUUGGGGGCAUUUGUAUUUAACAGUCAGAGGUGAAAUUCUUAGAUUUGGUAAAGACAAACUAAUGCGAAAGCAUUUGCCAAGGA
Molecule: ribosomal RNA, 484 nt
Filed under: Cryptosporidium parvum
Lineage: Eukaryota; Apicomplexa; Conoidasida; Eucoccidiorida; Cryptosporidiidae
Description: SSU rRNA
Rfam family: Eukaryotic small subunit ribosomal RNA
Source: RNAcentral